Molecule: ribosomal RNA, 468 nt
Filed under: uncultured bacterium
Lineage: Bacteria
Description: partial 16S ribosomal RNA
Rfam family: Bacterial small subunit ribosomal RNA
Source: RNAcentral
GACGAACGCUGGCGGCGUGCUUAACACAUGCAAGUCGAACGGAAAGGCCCUGCUCUUGUGGGGUGCUCGAGUGGCGAACGGGUGAGUAACACGCGAGUAACCUGCCCUUGACUUUGGGAUAACUUCAGGAAACUGGGGCUAAUACCGGAUAGGAGCUCCUGCUGCAUGGUGGGGGUUGGAAAGAUUCGGCGGUUGGGGAUGGACUGGCGGCUUAUCAGCUUGUUGGUGGGGUAGUGGCUUACCAAGGCUUUGACGGGUAGCCGGCCUGAGAGGGUGACCGGCCACAUUGGGACUGAGAUACGGCCCAGACUCCUACGGGAGGCAGCAGUGGGGAAUAUUGCGCAAUGGGCGGAAGCCUGAUGCAGCAACGCCGCGUGCGGGAUGACGGCCUUCGGGUUGUAAACCGCUUUCGCCUGUGACGAAGCGUGAGUGACGGUAAUGGGUAAGGAAGCACCGGCUAACUACGUG